Long non-coding RNA from Oreochromis aureus, 729 nucleotides. RefSeq lists it as uncharacterized. Lineage: Eukaryota; Metazoa; Chordata; Actinopteri; Cichliformes; Cichlidae. The transcript is spliced from 3 exons. The record is from RefSeq and is a predicted model, not a curated record.
GAGUGAAAGAGAUCUUUGGUUUUGCCUUUGCUGACUGCUGAUCUGAUCGUCUCAAGUCUGGUGACCUGCUGCAGAAAACCCUCUCCCUCUAUCAUUAUCAAGCAAUUCUGUCUAUCCUAUCACUCUCCCAACUCUAUCUAAUUUGACAGCCAUUCUAUCUUGUAUCAAUCUAUCCCAACUGCUCUAUCUAAUUUGACAGCCAUUCUGUCUUGUAUCAAUCUAUCCCAAGCACUCUAUCUCGUUUUCAGAAAUCCCAGUUUUCAGAAAUCCCAGUCUUCAGAAAUCCCAGUCUUCAGAAAUCUAAGUCUUCAGAAAUCCCAGUUUUCAGAAAUCCCAGUUUUCAGAAAUCCCAGUUUUCAGAAAUCCAAGUUUUGAAAAAUCCAAGUUUUGAAAAAUCCAAGUUUUGAAAAAUCCAAGUUUUGAAAAAUCCAAGUUUUUGGCAAUUGAAGUUACCAGAACUUUGUCAAUCUGUAUUCAGAAUUCUGAGAGAUCUCUGCUCUCACUGCUCCUCCUUUCCUGUCAUUAAACUCUCUCUCCAUUCAUUUUGCUGGAAAAUAACAAUUAGAAAGUUGAAUAUACAGUAGUAGAAUUGCAGUACAGUAGAACUUAUAGUAGAAACUACUUAUACAGCCCUACAUUUGUAGUUUUAACUUGGCAUUACACUUUGAAAUAAACACUGAUAGUUUGGCUUACAAGUGCAAUUUGAUAAAUUAUAUAAACUUAUAUACA